Molecule: transfer RNA, 71 nt
Filed under: Loxodonta africana (African savanna elephant)
Lineage: Eukaryota; Metazoa; Chordata; Mammalia; Proboscidea; Elephantidae
Rfam family: tRNA
About the family: Transfer RNA (tRNA) molecules are approximately 80 nucleotides in length.
Source: Rfam by way of RNAcentral
ACACUGGUGGUUCAGUGGUAGAAUUAUUGUCCUCCAUGCAGUAGACCCGGGUUUGAUUCCCAGCCAAUGCA